RNAcentral lists this ribosomal RNA (496 nucleotides) under uncultured bacterium. RNAcentral's name for it is "bacterial SSU rRNA". It matches the Rfam family "Bacterial small subunit ribosomal RNA", at positions 29 to 521 of the family's 1533-position model. The record is from RNAcentral.
AACGAACGCUGGCGGCGCGCCUAAUACAUGCAAGUCGAACGAGAAGGUGUAGCAAUACACUUGUACAGUGGCGAACGGGUGAGGAAUGCAUGGGCAACCUACCCUCGAGUGGGGAAUAACCAGCCGAAAGGUUGGCUAAUACCGCGUACGCUUCCGGGUCUCCGGAUCCGGAAGGAAAGUCACACCGUGGGUGUGACGCUCAAGGAUGGGCUCAUGUCCUAUCAGCNGUUGGUGAGGUAACGGCUCACCAAGGCAACGACGGGUAGCUGGUCUGAGAGGACGAUCAGCCACACUGGCACUGCGACACGGGCCAGACUCCUACGGGAGGCAGCAGUAAGGAAUAUUGCGCAAUGGGCGAAAGCCUGACGCAGCGACGCCGCGUGGGGGAUGAAGGUCUUCGGAUUGUAAACCCCUUUUAGGAGGGAAAUGGGACGAGCAAUCGUCCGGAUGGUACCUCCAGAAAAGCCACGGCUAACUUCGUGCCAGCAGCCGCGGU